AGUGAACGCUGGCGGUAGGCCUAACACAUGCAAGUCGAACGGCAGCACAGUAAGAGCUUGCUCUUACGGGUGGCGAGUGGCGGACGGGUGAGGAAUACAUCGGAAUCUACUUUUUCGUGGGGGAUAACGUAGGGAAACUUACGCUAAUACCGCAUACGACCUACGGGUGAAAGCAGGGGAUCUUCGGACCCUGCGCGAUUGAAUGAGCCGAUGUCGGAUUAGCUAGUUGGCGGGGUAAAGGCCCACCAAGGCGACGAUCCGUAGCUGGUCUGAGAGGAUGAUCCGCCACACUAGAACUGAGACACGGUCCAGACGCCUACGGGAGGCAGCAGUGGGGAAUAUUGGACAAUGGGCGCAAGCCUGAGCCAGCCAUACCGCGUGGGUGAAGAAGGCCUUCGGGUUGUAAAGCCCUUUUGUUGGGAAAGAAAAGCAGCAGGUUAAUACCCCGCUGUUCUGACGGUACCCAAAGAGUAAGCAACGGCUAACUUCGUG
Molecule: ribosomal RNA, 492 nt
Filed under: uncultured bacterium
Lineage: Bacteria
Description: partial 16S ribosomal RNA
Rfam family: Bacterial small subunit ribosomal RNA
Source: RNAcentral